AGAGUUUGAUCCUGGCUCAGGACGAACGCUGGCGGCGCGCCAAACACAUGCAAGUCGAACGAGCGAGAGAGAGUUUACUUUCUCGAGCGAGUGGCGAACGGGUGAGUAACGCGUGAGGAACCUGCCUCAAAGAGGGGGACAACAGUUGGAAACGACUGCUAAUACCGCAUAAGCCCACGACCCGGCAUCGGGUAGAGGGAAAAGGAGCAAUCCGCUUUGAGAUGGCCUCGCGUCCGAUUAGCUAGUUGGUGAGGUAACGGCCCACCAAGGCGACGAUCGGUAGCCGGACUGAGAGGUUGAACGGCCACAUUGGGACUGAGACACGGCCCAGACUCCUACGGGAGGCAGCAGUGGGGAAUAUUGCACAAUGGGGGAAACCCUGAUGCAGCGACGCCGCGUGGAGGAAGAAGGUCUUCGGAUUGUAAACUCCUGUUGUUGAGGAAGAUAAUGACGGUACUCAACAAGGAAGUGACGGCUAACUACGUGCCAGCAGCCGCGGUAGAACGUAGGCCACAAGCGUUGUCCGGAAUUACUGGGUGUAAAGGGAGCGCAGGCGGGAAGACAAGUUGGAAGUGAAAUCCAUGGGCUCAACCCAUGAACUGCUUUCAAAACUGUUUUUCUUGAGUAGUGCAGAGGUAGGCGGAAUUCCCGGUGUAGCGGUGGAAUGCGUAGAUAUCGGGAGGAACACCAGUGGCGAAGGCGGCCUACUGGGCACCAACUGACGCUGAGGCUCGAAAGUGUGGGUAGCAAACAGGAUUAGAUACCCUGGUAGUCCACACUGUAAACGAUGAUUACUAGGUGUUGGAGGAUUGACCCCUUCAGUGCCGCAGUUAACACAAUAAGUAAUCCACCUGGGGAGUACGACCGCAAGGUUGAAACUCAAAGGAAUUGACGGGGGCCCGCACAAGCAGUGGAGUAUGUGGUUUAAUUCGACGCAACGCGAAGAACCUUACCAAGUCUUGACAUCCUGCGACGGUUCUGGAAACAGAACUUUCCUUCGGGACGCAGAGACAGGUGGUGCAUGGUUGUCGUCAGCUCGUGUCGUGAGGUGUUGGGUUAAGUCCCGCAACGAGCGCAACCCCUGCCCCGUGUUGCCAGCAUUCAGUUGGGGACUCGCGGGGGACCGCCGGCGUCAAGCCGGAGGAAGGCGGGGACGACGUCAAGUCAUCAUGCCCCUUAUGCCCUGGGCCGCACACGUGCUACAAUGGCCGGUACAGAGGGUUGCCACCCCGCGAGGGGGAGCGGAUCCCGCAAAGCCGGCCCCAGUUCGGAUCGGAGGCUGCAACCCGCCUCCGUGAAGCCGGAGUUGCUAGUAAUCGCGGAUCAGCACGCCGCGGUGAAUACGUUCCCAGGCCUUGUACACACCGCCCGUCACACCACCCGAGUCGUCUGCACCCGAAGCCGCCGGCCGAACCCCUCUGGGGGCGGAGGCGUCGAAGGUGUGGAGGGUGAGGGGGGUGAAGUCGUAACAAGGUA
RNAcentral lists this ribosomal RNA (1476 nucleotides) under metagenome. Its description in RNAcentral is "bacterial SSU rRNA". It matches the Rfam family "Bacterial small subunit ribosomal RNA". The record is from RNAcentral.